Molecule: long non-coding RNA, 1002 nt
Organism: Manihot esculenta (cassava)
Lineage: Eukaryota; Viridiplantae; Streptophyta; Magnoliopsida; Malpighiales; Euphorbiaceae
Exons: 2
Source: RefSeq, a predicted model, not a curated record
UGCCUUUUCAAUUUUGUCCAUAUCCGGUGAUGCAUAGUGAAGUUAAUAUCAGAGGGCAUUUCAGUCUUUAUAAUUAAAUAACGCAUAUAUGAGUUAUGGCUUCUUUAUCUACGAUCAAAAUAUUAUCGAAUAUAUAUAUUAAAAAUGCUAAUGCAUACAGAGAAAUUGGCUGCGCAAUAAGAAAAGUUAUAAGGGAAAAAAAGGUUCCAAAAGCAACUUAACAUGAAUAAAGUUGGAGGAAGCCCAGUCGCCAGGGCAGAGCAAGCAUUGAGAAACGAUUCUCCAUUUUGGGUUUGGAAGCAAUAAUAAUAAUAAUAAUAAUGAGUUAUUGAAACCCAAGCCUAAUAAAUGAAGGUUUGGCAGGACAGCUUCCUGACCACAAGUGACAACUCCACAAUGCUAAAGACGGUUGCUUAAGGGCACAGAUUUAUUUUUUUCAUAGGCUGGCUGUUGAAUCGGGGCAUUGAUGAUUGAUCUAUCUUAUCAAAAAAUUUGCAGGCAUAUCAGCUGGGCUACCCAUCAACAAACAGAUCAAACAAUGAGCACAAAGUUUUCUUUUCCAUUUCCUCAUCAUCUCUCUGCUAUUUCUCGCUUUCUGCAAUCCGGAGAUGACAAGGCCAGUACAGUGUAUGGUGUAUCGCAUAAACUUGUUCCAGGCGGACCAAAUCCACUUCACAAUUGAUGGAAUUUUCCAUUUAACCAUCUCGUUUCGGCGGGAAGAAUCCACAGGUUUCUUUUAUAGCUACGUAUAGAAAAGAAAGAAAGAAAGAAAAAAUUCCACAGUUGUCUUUUGUAGUUGGUUCUUGAAAAGAAUGAUAAGGGAAGGAAAACGAGAGAAAGAUGCUCAAAAAAUGGCCUCCUUCCAUAGGACUUGUUCAAUGUACUUCUCAGUUCUUUCCUUCAUUCUUUCCACGAACCAACUUGUUCGGAUUUGUAGAAUUCUAUUUGCGUUACCAUUGUAAAGAGCAUCAAUUUAUUUACUAUUUAAACUAAAAUCUUGAG